Aedes albopictus (Asian tiger mosquito) is the source of this 118-nucleotide non-coding RNA. Lineage: Eukaryota; Metazoa; Arthropoda; Insecta; Diptera; Culicidae. The record is from Rfam.
UGCCCAGCAACUCCUAUCCCUACCUCCACGCGGUACCGACCGGAAACUAUGAGCAACCUUAGGGAAGAUCGGGUAACCAACCCCGGUGGGAACUUUGGUCGUAGGCUGACAGGGAAGG